RNAcentral lists this ribosomal RNA (608 nucleotides) under Trypethelium platystomum. Its description in RNAcentral is "eukaryotic LSU rRNA". The stretch from base 244 to 397 matches the Rfam family "5.8S ribosomal RNA". Lineage: Eukaryota; Fungi; Ascomycota; Dothideomycetes; Trypetheliales; Trypetheliaceae. The record is from RNAcentral.
UCCGUAGGUAAGUACAAUCGGAUUAUCCUCUUCGAUUAUGAAAUCUUCCGAUAGCUAAUUCUUCUUUAGGUGAACCUGCGGAGGGAUCAUUAUCGAGUUAGGGGUAGCUCCGGCUGCCUUGACUUCCCAACCCUAUGAUUUGAUGUACUUUACUAUGUCUUCCGGCCUCUGCUCCGGUAUGCCGGAAGAUUUUACUGCCAACUCGCUAAUCAUGACGUCAUCUUCAAUCUUGAAUUGAAUAAAAACUUUCAACAACGGAUCUCUUGGUUCUAGCAUCGAUGAAGAACGCAGCGAAAUGCGAUAAGUAUUAUGAAUUGCAGAAUUCAGUGAAUCAUCGAAUUUUUGAACGCACAUUGCGCCUCUUGGCAUUCCAUGAGGCAUGCCUGUUCGAGCGUUAUUACAAAACCCUCAAGCCUUGCUUGGUGAUGAAUUCCAUCAUUGAUGGAUUUUUAAAAAUUUGCCGAUGUUGUAGAGUUUAAUUCGACGCAACCAGAACUUUUCUGCGUCAGAAUGAGCUUUACAUCACAUCAGUAAAUCCUUUUCAAUAAUUUAACCUCGGAUCAGGUAGGAAUACCCGCUGAACUUAAGCAUAUCAAUAAGNCGGAGGA